This 253-nucleotide ribosomal RNA is filed under the name uncultured bacterium. Its description in RNAcentral is "partial 16S ribosomal RNA". It matches the Rfam family "Bacterial small subunit ribosomal RNA", at positions 524 to 776 of the family's 1533-position model. The record is from RNAcentral.
CACGUAGGGCGCAAGCGUUGUCCGGAAUUAUUGGGCGUAAAGAGCUCGUAGGCGGUCUGUUGCGUCUGCUGUGAAAACCCGGGGCUUAACCCCUGGCUUGCAGUGGAUACGGACAGACUAGAGGUAGGUAGGGGAGAAUGGAAUUCCCGGUGUAGCGGUGAAAUGCGCAGAUAUCGGGAGGAACACCGGUGGCGAAGGCGGGACUCUGGGCCGAUACUGACGCUGAGGAGCGAAAGCGUGGGGAGCAAACAGG